AAAACUUAAGUGAUGAUUUCAUAGUUCAGCUGACUGUAAUGAUUGUAAAAUUUAAGUCUUUCGCUCCUAUCUGAAAAAUAUG
This is a small nucleolar RNA of Centruroides sculpturatus (bark scorpion), 82 nucleotides long. RefSeq annotates it as small nucleolar RNA snR60/Z15/Z230/Z193/J17. Lineage: Eukaryota; Metazoa; Arthropoda; Arachnida; Scorpiones; Buthidae. The transcript has a single exon. The record is from RefSeq and is a predicted model, not a curated record.